AAGCUUCAAGCGUAACAAAAACCGUUAAAUUAUUCAUCACCUACAUUGUUUACUAACUUGCUAUGCCAAUAAUGUAAAAAUUAUCUCGCAAAAAGCCACGAGUUGUUUAACAAAUUCUAAUAAAUGUUUAGUCCAAAAGUACGGCAUUUCUUGUUUUUUCGAGGUCUAACGGAAAUGUCACUAGCACUGGCACUUUAAUUAGUCACACUACAAAAUAACCAAAACCGAACAGAUCCGCAUUAUACAAUAGGGUUAUGAAAAGAAAAUGGAGGCACCGCAGUUUAGAGUGGCCCUAACAAAAAUUUUAGGGUUAUAUAGUGAAACAAUUUAUUUAUACAAGGUCAUCUUAAAACUAAUAAAAUUUACCACACAAGUCACUCAUUUUUGGAAUGCAUUAUGAGAGUCCGUACGCGUUUCUAGCAAUGUCCUGUUUUUUUGUGCAGCGAAGCAGUCAUCGCUUCCGGUUUAUAGGAGACAGUUUGUGGUUGAGAAUAUCUACUAUUGAAUUUUUGAUUCUGUGUCACAAGAUCAUAGCAUUCAUGUCACUGGGCAUCAGCCAAAAUAGGGGUGUGGUAACAAUGGCCACUUACGUCUUACGACCGGCGACGCAUGUUUUGUAUAUAAAUAGUUUGUAUAAUAGAAUUUUUUGUCAAAACAUAUAAUCAAUAUUUGGUAUAAUUUAUCUUUAUUCUUGUAACAUUCCAUUCCCAUGACAUAAUUUAAAAGUAAAUAUUUAUAUACUUUUAAUACUUACUUUAAUAAUUACUUAAUAAAAGUAAAUAGUUGUCGGUAGUUUUCGGGAAUUACCCAAUAAUAGUAUUAUUGGGGUAAUUCCCGAAAACUAUUUUAUUUUUGAAAAAUUUUUUUUGGGGCCCACCCGCCUUUGUAGUUUAAUUAGCCCCCGCAAAGGUAUGUAGUUUGGGUAACCCUGAACUAGAAUCACGUUUUAAUACCAGGUAGGUCGUGAGUUCCUCUGCUUAACUUCGGUUAUAAGAUGGCUUUGCUAUUAUUAGUAAAAUUUGAAGUAUUUUAUUCAGAAAAAUAUUCAAUAUAAGAUUUACACAACAUUGAUUAUAAUUACUUAAUUUAUUUUCAUUGUUAUGGAUUUUCUGAUAUGCUAAAAGCGGUAGAGCGGUAUAAGGGGUUAACUCAGGUAUUACUGUACCACAUUCGAUAUCAACAUUCAUGUAUGCAGAACAAAAGUUACCUACGGCAUGAGAUUAGAAUUCCAGGUAGAAGUGUAAAAAUUCUUAGAUUAUUAGUAAGCAUCAUUCUAGUAAACUUACCUUAGAUUUGACAUCACAUCUUGGAUUGCAACGGGAAAAAACAAAUUCAUUACUUUUUAUAGAAAUAAUGAUUACAUUUUAAAAUUAAAAAUCUACAUCAUUAAGAUGUGGCGUGAUCACGUUUCAGUCAGUCUUCUAACUACCAUAUACAGGACCGGAUUUAAACUUAAUGCCGCUCCUGGGCACCGGAAAAAAGUCCGCCCCAAUACUGGAAUCUUACUUAAACUUAUAGUUUAUAUAUUUUAUUUUUCAAAAUUAAAAAACUAAUUUAUUGCGGAAACCUUAUCAUUCGUCAUAUAUUCCAAAAACAUAAAUAAUUAUUUGUUUUUUUUCUAACAAUUAAAAAAUUUUGGACUAAGGGUGUCACAUAAUUAUAUUACUUAAAAAAGAAAAAAGAAAAAAAAUUAAAAUGAUUAAUUAACUAUAUUGAACAAUCUUGAAUCGACUAAAAAAUUUUUUUUUACUUUCAAAAAUUUGCCGCCCUGGGCACUGGCCCCAACUGCCCCUAGUGUAAAUCCACCACUGACCAUAUAACUACUCCACUAAAAUAUAACUACAGCAGAAGAAGAAGUGUCUGUAGAGCAAAGAUGUUUACAAAAAAAAACGCAAAAAUUGUAGGUACCCCAAAUCACAGAUCCCUACAUUUUAGUGCUUGUUUGGUCGGCGAAUAACGUCGUGGCAAUCCUAGAUUUUAAAUUAAUAACGGUUAAGCGUGUUAGGGGUCAACUUGUUUGUUGUAUGAUUUCUAUUUAUUGAAGUAGUAUUUUGUUGACGUACAUCACUACAUAGUAUAAAACAAAGUCGCUUUCUCUGUCCCUAUAUCCCUAUGUAUGCUUGUAUGCUUAAAUCUUUAAAACUACGCAACGGAUUUUGAUGCGGUUUUUUUUAAUAGAUACGAGUGAUUGAAGAGGAAGGCUUAUGUGUAUAAUAACUGAUGGUAAAUGAUGGAUGGACGAGCUCACGGCCACCUGGUGUCAAGUAAUUAUCAGACCCAUAGACAUCAACAACGUAAUUGCUGCCACCCACCUUGAGACAUGAGUUCUAAGUCUCAAUUUUAUAGUAAAACGGCUGCCUCAGCCUACAAACCGAAACACAUUACCUACUGCUUAACGGCAAAAAUAGGCAGGACGAUGAUACCUACCCGUGUGCACUGACAAGACGCCCUAUCACCACACUACUACCACAUUUUACUAUUAUACAUUUUAAAUAAAUAUCAUAACACACAAAAAAGUAUUAUGAUAAGAUUAUUGUUAAACAAAAAAUAUAGACGUAUAUAUUAUUAUAUAUUUUGCAUAUUUAAUUAUGUUGUUACACAGGUGUAAUUACGAAGUAUUAAUAUUAUAUGUAUUUAGGAUAAAUGUAAGACAGAUAUUAGACUGUUGGCGCUUAUAAUUUUUCCAUCUUUUUUUUUACUGAAGGAUUACUGGUGGCCCGAUGGCGUUUCCAGUUUCACCAGAACAGGUUGGCGAGCACGGGCUCAGCCAGGAGGGAUGGGAUUUGCUAACAGCUACCCGAGCGCCUCCAGAGGAGACCUAAAAACUCAAGAGUAUCUGCUUCGCGAAUGAAUUUACUAUCGGAUCGAAAUCGCGACCUGCUGAGAAGAUCCGGUGAGAAACUCGUUGGGGAAUUUUGCAUGUACAUCUGUCUGUACACUGUGUGUACAAGUUUACGAAAAAAUUAAGAUCUAUACAUAGUGUAGCGGAGGGAUGUAAAUAAAUAUCGUGCACAUAGGGCAGGAAGUAGUUUCUUUUUUCUUCAAGAAAUUUUCCAACAGGUUCGUACCACAAUCAUCCAAUUUCUGCCGCGAAGCAGUUAAGCAUUCCAAUUCAAAAGGGUGACACAGCCGUUAUACACUACAACUGAGACCUCAACCACAUUAGAAUGGAACUCGCAACCCAUCUGGCGUUCAGUGGUUCCCGGAGCCCGUUAAAAUCUCAACGUAAAUGCCUUCACCCACACUAAGACACGGGGUCGAUAUGUCAAUCGUAUUUCAUAACUUAAUAAAUAAAUAAAUAACGGCUGUCCCACCUAUCAAACGCGAAUGCAUGACUGUUUCGUAAUAAAGUUAUAGAAUGUUGAUGCACCUCAUGCAUUGAUGCAAGCCCAUAUGUAGAGCUACAUAUAAAAUACUAGCGGCCCGCUCCGGCUCCGCUCGGGUCUUUAACAAAAAUUUCAACGAUAUUUGACUUUAUUUUAUUUUUUAAAAUAAAAGAACGCUACUUGCGGCAUAACUUGCCGUAGGACCUCUUGUGAGUCCGCGCGGGUAGGUACCACCGCCCUGCCUAUUUCUGCCGUGAAGCAGUAAUGCGUUUCGGUUUGAAGGGUGGGGCAGCCGUUGUAACUAAAACUUGACCCUUAGAACUUAUAUCUCAAGGUGGGUGGCGCAUUUACGUUGUGGAUGUCCAUGGGCCCCAGUAACCACUUAACACCAGGUGGGUUUUGAGAUCGUCCACCCAUCUCAGCAAUAAAAAAAAAUCUUGUUAGGUAGGUCUGGUGCAAAUGCAUGCAUGCAAAUUGCAUGUGGUUUUGACUAAGAUGUCAGUGUACUCUAAAGUAACUCCUCAAACAAUCAGUGCAUCUGCCUGUUAUUUACUAUCUACAAUGCUUUGCCCUCCUCCUUUCCAUCUCAAAACUGGGAAGAAAAGAUUAUGACUGAGAAAAUAUUAUAUGCCUUAACCAUUUGCAGUAGUCGAGCUAGAUCUUAUACCUUUAAACGAGCAAUUCUUGUAUAUAUAUAUAAUCUGAACCUCGGAAACGGCUCCAACGAUUUUUAUAAAAAUUAGUAUACAGGGGAUUUCGGGGGCGAUAAAUCGAUCUAGCUACGAAUUAAUUUCAGAAAAUGUUGUUUAAUUCGUGUUUUCAAUAAUCAACUUUAUCGAUAAUUAACUUUAUGACUCUUCCCGACAUCUAUUGGUGAAUAAUAAUACUAUUAAGCUAUUUCAGCAGAUGGCGUUGUUAAGCCACCCGAAGCCAAUGAGUGUUUGGUUUAAGGUUAGACCAAGAAAAUGAAUUGUUUAUAUUUUAUAUUAUUUGUCUUUUUCAUAUAAAUUUAAAAAAAUACCGUACAAAGCUCGGUCAUCGUCUAAUUUUAAUAUAAAUGGUAAUAAUCCAUCAGACUUCCCUCAAUCAUCUAAUAAAUUGUCACCAUGACUGCUGUUACAGUGGAUUUCAGAGGUUCUAUUCCUGUUCAGAAUCAGUAUUUUUUGUUAGUACUGUAUUUUAGGGAAGACACUUAGAUAGCAGAAGGAAAAAAAUGUGCUUGGCUAUAUCUAAUCAUACCUACUAGAUAACUAAGGGAAUAUUCAGGAUAACUAAGCAUUUUGAGGAUCAUUGAAAUGCUAUUAAUUUACAAUAAGGGAAAUUUGAAAAAAAAAAACCAGUCAUUUAUAGGUUUUAGAGGAUUGGAAUAGAAGAAAUUGUCAUAGGAUGUUAAUAAGAGAAGACUUAUGGGACUUACUUCACUGUCAGAAUCAUAAUAAAUUAGAGACCGAGGAGUAAGGACCACCCAGCGCUCCUUGAAAUUUACUGGUGUAAAUAAAUUCUUAUUUUGUGACCUCUUCACCAUAAAUGCCUGCAGCAGAACUUCAUUGUCUUUUCCUGCCAUUUUUCACUGAAAUUUAAGUACGCGAAAUUUCACAAAUUUGAUUUAAAUCACUUAAUAAUUCCUGACAUUAGUAGAAAACUUUAUAAUUUUUGUAGCCUAAACUUCUACUGAUUUAAAUAAAACUAACCCAUU
Long non-coding RNA from Bombyx mori (domestic silkworm), 5022 nucleotides. RefSeq lists it as uncharacterized. The record is from RefSeq and is a predicted model, not a curated record. The transcript has 4 exons. Lineage: Eukaryota; Metazoa; Arthropoda; Insecta; Lepidoptera; Bombycidae.